Molecule: small RNA, 30 nt
Filed under: Bombyx mori (domestic silkworm)
Lineage: Eukaryota; Metazoa; Arthropoda; Insecta; Lepidoptera; Bombycidae
Description: ovarian small RNA-26069
Source: RNAcentral
UCAUCCUGGCCCGUUGCCGGAAGACCGCAC